RNAcentral lists this transfer RNA (90 nucleotides) under Paracoccus sp. (in: a-proteobacteria). RNAcentral describes it as "tRNA-Ser". It matches the Rfam family "tRNA". From Rfam's summary of the family: Transfer RNA (tRNA) molecules are approximately 80 nucleotides in length. Their secondary structure includes four short double-helical elements and three loops (D, anti-codon, and T loops). Lineage: Bacteria; Pseudomonadati; Pseudomonadota; Alphaproteobacteria; Rhodobacterales; Paracoccaceae. The record is from RNAcentral. RNAcentral also lists the same sequence under 70 other names.
GGAGAGGUGGCCGAGUGGUCGAAGGCGCACGCCUGGAAAGUGUGUAGGCGGGGAACCGUCUCGAGGGUUCGAAUCCCUUCCUCUCCGCCA